This 455-nucleotide ribosomal RNA is filed under the name uncultured bacterium. RNAcentral's name for it is "bacterial SSU rRNA". It matches the Rfam family "Bacterial small subunit ribosomal RNA", at positions 355 to 801 of the family's 1533-position model. The record is from RNAcentral.
UAGGGAAUUUUGGGCAAUGGGCGAAAGCCUGACCCAGCAACGCCGCGUGUGGGAUGAAGGCCCUCGGGUCGUAAACCACUGUCAGGAGGAAAGAAAAGUCGGCCGGAUAAUACUCGGUCGACCUGACGGUACCUCCAAAGGAAGCACCGGCUAACUCCGUGCCAGCAGCCGCGGUAAUACGGAGGGUGCAAGCGUUGUUCGGAAUUACUGGGCGUAAAGCGCGUGUAGGUGGUCGAGUAAGUCGAAUGUGAAAGCCCCGGGCUCAACCCGGGAAGUGCAUCCGAAACUGCUCGACUAGAGUCCCGGAGAGGAAGGCAGAAUUCCCAAUGUAGGGGUGAAAUCCGUAGAUAUUGGGAGGAAUACCGGUGGCGAAGGCGGCCUUCUGGACGGUGACUGACACUCAGACGCGAAAGCGUGGGGAGCAAACAGGAUUAGAUACCCAAGUAGUCCCUGAG